RNAcentral lists this ribosomal RNA (252 nucleotides) under uncultured Bacteroidales bacterium. Its description in RNAcentral is "partial 16S ribosomal RNA". It matches the Rfam family "Bacterial small subunit ribosomal RNA", at positions 524 to 776 of the family's 1533-position model. Lineage: Bacteria; Pseudomonadati; Bacteroidota; Bacteroidia; Bacteroidales. The record is from RNAcentral.
UACGGAGGAUGCGAGCGUUAUCCGGAUUUAUUGGGUUUAAAGGGUGCGUAGGCGGUCCGUUAAGUCAGCGGUAAAAUUGCGGGGCUCAACCCCGUCGAGCCGUUGAAACUGGCAGACUUGAGUUGGCGAGAAGUACGCGGAAUGCGCGGUGUAGCGGUGAAAUGCAUAGAUAUCACGCAGAACCCCGAUUGCGAAGGCAGCCUGCCAAGCCAUGACUGACGCUGAUGCACGAAAGCGUGGGGAUCGAACAGG